UGGACCUACGGGGGGCAGCAGUGAGGAAUAUUGGUCAAUAGCCGGAAGGCUGAACCAGCCAAGCCGCGUGAAGGACGAAGGUGCCAAGCAUUGUAAACUUCUUUUGUCAAGGGACAAAAUCAGGCUCGAGAGCCUGACCGAGGGUACUUGAAGAAAAAGCAUCGGCUAACUCCGUGCCAGCAGCCGCGGUAAUACGGAGGAUGCGAGCGUUAUCCGGAUUUACUGGGUGUAAAGGGCGUGUAGGCGGGCAUGCAAGCCAGAAGUGAAAUCUGGGGGCUUAACCCCCAAACUGCUUUUGGAACUGC
Molecule: ribosomal RNA, 305 nt
Filed under: uncultured bacterium
Lineage: Bacteria
Description: bacterial SSU rRNA
Rfam family: Bacterial small subunit ribosomal RNA
Source: RNAcentral